RNAcentral lists this ribosomal RNA (7155 nucleotides) under Triticum aestivum (bread wheat). RNAcentral describes it as "partial small subunit ribosomal RNA". Lineage: Eukaryota; Viridiplantae; Streptophyta; Magnoliopsida; Poales; Poaceae. The record is from RNAcentral.
AUGGGGGCGGCGCGGCGGGGCCUGCUGCUCGACCAGUGGCGCGGGAUCCAGGAGGACGAGGAGGCGUACGACGACCGCGGCGACCCUUCCGCGGCCAACCAUCGCCGCCGCCGCCUCAACCAGGCCAAGGAGCAGUGGUUUUCACAUUGUUUUGAUUUUCUAGAAAGUUUGCCAAAAGAAGAGCAUAUUUGGUGUGGAUAUGCUGAUAUUAUGGGACCUUUUUUAGAAAUGUUCCAUGGUUACUUUGAUGAGCAGGAAAACUCACUCGUUAGAACAAUAUGGUCACGGAUUUCUCAAGAACUGGGCAUUUGUACACAGUGUGUGUGUGAACACCACCAGGCACAGGAAUCUUUUGAUACUGAAUGUCGGUCAGGUAGUAUUGACCCCCUCCAGAAAGUAUUACGGCAUCUUGAUGAAGAGAGGGUUACGAAGCACCUAGAAAAGAUAAAUGCAAUGAUUCAGCUUAAGGAAUAUGACCCUUCCUGUCAUGGUGCAGAAGUUGUUUGCAUAAUGUUCGAAGUUUUGAUGUAUCCUGUUCUAUUAGAUGACCAAUCACUGGCUAAUCAGUUCCAGAAGUUCAUUGAAACAAUUGAUGAAUCAUAUGAAGUGAGCCUUUCAACUAAUCAGCAAUAUCCUGGUGUUUACGCAUUACUUUUCUUCAAAAGUGGUAAAGCUCGGGCUAUUGGUCUUCGCUUAUCCCGAUCCAUGGGUAAAUUAAGGAAAGCGGUUGACCUGGAACCGCUGCAACCCUUACUGCAAAAGUACAUCAAUUUCCUGGAUGCUGAAGUUCUUCCAUCUACUCCAGAAUUUUCAAGGCCCAGGGUGCAGCUCCAAAGGGCUGAUGUUUGGCUUGGAUUUAAAUCACUCCUUGGAUUUCUCGAGGCACCUGCUUUUGAAGAUGGAAUCUUGGAGAAAUACCCUAUCUUCCUGAAUAUUGUACUUAACCAUGUCAGUGAUGACGGAUUCGAUUUAUCAUGUGCUGUUAGUUGCCUCAAAGCAUCAUUUGAAAUGCUUGGCUGCAAACUUUGGUUGAGAACAACGCUAUCACCUAGUGUUAUUCGGAACACAUUAUUGGGUCAGUGUUUUCACACUCGAGAUGAGAAAAGUCACAAAGAAAUAUUCGAUCUUUUCAUCCCGUUUCUUCAGUCCCUUGAAGCUCUACAAGAUGGCGAACAUGAGAAGCAACGGAGGAAUAUUUUGUAUUUUCUUCUUCAUCAAGUAACUCGGAGUAGUAAUUUCAGUGCACUGAUGAGAAAAAAUGCUACUAAGAUUGCUCUUCUUAUUGUGCAAAGAGGCUACACAAUGAACCCUCCUUGCCCAGCCUCGGAAUGUGCCCAUAUGUGGGGACCAUCUUUGAUAUGCUCGUUAAAUGAUACAUCCUUGCAUAGUUCUCUGCGUCAACCUGCGUUUGAUCUCAUCAAUAUUCUCAUAGUUUCUGAUGCUUCUGCCUUGAUUUCCUUUAAACUGAAGUAUGAGUCUGCCACAAAGGGUGAUUCAAGCAACUCUGUCAUGUUUGUCGAGGACGAGGAUGAAUUGCCUUUUGCCGAUGAUACCGCGGAAAAGGAGUACAGCUGUUGGAGUGAUUUCAGAGCUCUGAACAAGUUGACAUUUAGGGGAUGCAAGGAUUGGACAUGUGUCCCUUUGUUAUGGUAUCUGGUAAUGGUUCAGUUGGAACCCUCUAAACUGCCUAUGGCUUUUUCGAAAGCAGUGUUUUGGGCUCUAUCUCAUAUUUCUAUUUUGGAGCCUGGGUUAGCUAUGGACUUGUCAGUGCCUGUAAAUGAUUGGUUAUCGUCACAUGCUGGAGAAGUCUCGUCAACAUUUUCAUGGCAAGUUCCAAAUGGUGCUGAUGAUGGUGGAGGUGGGAAGGAUUGCAUCAAUACUCUCAAGGUGUCAAAAUUUGGUACCCUGUUAUUGAGAAUAUUUAAAAGAUUUGCAAUCCGUGUCAUCAUGCAAAUUGAGCAAUGUGGGCUUCAAAAGCAAUGGACAUGGGAACCAAUGAUGGCGGAAAGCUUGAUUUUGGCACUAGUUGAUCCCAAUGAUAAUGUGCGGCAAGCAGGGAGGGCUGUCAUGGAACAUGUAUCCCAAGCACGGGGUUUGACUCCUGGGCUUCAAUUUCUGUGCUCAAGUGCAUCUUCACUGUCUGCUGUUUUCGUGGGUCUAAGAUAUGCAGUGCAGCUGGUGGAAAGGCAGUCACUUUUGGCAGAUUUUCAUAGUCUUCAUCACUUGUUUUUUGUCAUAUGCAAAUUAGUCAAGGAGGACAUUGCUCAACAGCCUUCAAUUCCACAGCCAACAAAACCUUCUGAAGGUGGUUUCUUGCGUCAACCAUUUUCAAAUGUACCAAUUACCCCACCAGAACAUGCUGUAGAUAUUAUUUCCUGGGAGAAGUUCAGCACUUUGCUUUCAGCAACUCUCUGGCCUUUAAUUUCCGCGUGCCUGAUAAAGGGAGACGAGCUAAUAAAUACCAAACAAUGUCAGAUAUCAUGUGUUCGAGUGCUUGAGUUGCUUCCCCUAGUCUACAACAGAGUCAACUCAUAUUGUGCUGAGCCAUUCAGUAUGACGACAAUGGUUCCAGACCCUAGUGAUAUGACAUGGCUUUUUCACUUGAUUAACUGGGGGAAAUCAUCUCUGCUUGUGAUCAGCAGACACUGGAAACAGUGCAUGCUAUCUUUAUUUAAAAUAUUAAAGGGUUCACAUGGUGACACCAUUCAACGCUCCAUUGAAGAUCUUGGUGAUACCAUUUCACACGAUGUAAUUGAUAUGGAUGCACUUAAAGGGAGAAUUUCUAAUCUUAAUCUUGCGGUGUUCAAGAAGGUGCCCACAAAAUCAGUUGAAACCAUCCCUUCUCUGAUUAGGCACACAGAUCAGGAGAGGCAUACUGGUCGGGACAAUCUUGAGACCAUGAAGCCCUCUCACGCGUCAGACACCGAACACAUAAUUCUUCUUUCAGACAGUGAAGAAAAUUUGCCUACAGAUGAUGUCAUUGGUGAGGAGGUUUUGUCUUCAGUGAAGGAGAAUGACGGAUUUACUGCUUCAGAUCUGUUAAAAAAUCCCUCUGUACAAACAAUGCCAGUUGAAGAUAAACAUGUGUCCUUAAAACAGCAGACACAUAGUGAUAUUAGUGCCUCUUCAAGACCUGUAUCGACGGAGAGUAGAGGCACACGUGCUGCCUCAAAAGGAUUAGGUGGAACAAAAAUGCCAAGUGUUCCAGCCAAUAAAAAUAGUACUUCCCAUUUACCAAACAAGGUUAAAUCAUCUGUUAGCGCCACUACUCAACCAUCCCGUCCAAAUUUGUCAUCGGAUGUAUGCAAAUUUAAGUCAAUUUUCAGAAAUAUAUCUGAUGAUGAAGAUGAUCCCUUAGAGCAUGCACUUGAUAAUUACAGAAGACCACAAAUUCGUGUAACAAAGUCUGCCAUAUUAAUUCCUAAAAGGCAAAUAGUUCAACUUCAGUUGCCUUCUGAAAGGAGACAGUCUUCUGGCAGACUGGAUACCAGUUUCCGACGUUUUAGUCCUCCUAAGCUGGACAGUUGGUUUAAGAAUAUAUUGGAAAUGGAUUACUUUGCUAUUGUUGGGCUAUCUUCUUCCGAGACAGUAAAGAAACCUGCUUUAAAACAAAUUCCUGUCUGCUUUGAUUCACAAGCUCAAUACAUUGAUAUCUUCCAGCCACUUGUUAUAGAAGAGUUCAAAGCUCAGUUGCAGAAUGCUUAUGUUGAAACCCCUCCUGAAGAUAUGAUGUGCGGCUCUAUAUCUAUACUCUCAGUUGAAAGAGUUGAUGAGUUUCUUGUUGUUCGUGGGCGUGCUGAGAACACAGUGUGUGUCAAAUCUAAAGGGUGUAUAGAGAAUGAUCUAAUACUGCUUACCAAGGAUCCACUGAAAAGCUCUGGACAGCAAGUCCAUGUGCUUGGAAAGGUGGAUCGGCGUGAGAGUGACAAAAAUAAGGCUUUAAUUAUUGUAAUAAAGUUCUACCUCUCGAAUGAGAUUCCACGUUUAAAUAAAGUGAAACGGCUUCUUGUUGAAAGAAGUAAAUGGUUCUUGAAUCGGGUUUUGAGCAUGACUCCUCAACUCCGAGAAUUCAGUGCUCUCUCAUCAUUAAAUGACAUCCCAGUGCUUCCAGUAAUCCUGAAUCCUGUUUCAUGUACUGCAACCAAUCAUGAAUCUUUUAAAGUGUAUCUUGAUAAACUUGCACGCCCUCUGCGGAAAGUAUUGAAGUCUUCAUACAAUGACAGCCAGCUCCAAGCUGUUAGUAUUGCCAUUGGGUCAGCAAGCUCGAAAACAAAAUGUGAUCUGUCUCUUAUUCAGGGCCCUCCAGGUACAGGUAAAACAAAAACUAUUGUUGCGAUCGUGAGUGCAUUGCUUUCUUUACAUGCCGACAACUCUUACAAUUUACCAAGAAAUGAAUCCCUGGCUAGUGCUGAAUUUACCAAGCCAAGAACAAAGAUUAGUCAAACUGCUGCUGUAGCUAGAGCUUGGCAGGAUGCAGCCCUGGCUAAACAACAGAUAAAGGAUUCCCAGAGAGAAAACCCGAGGACAGAACGGCUUUCAAAAGGCAUCCUUUCAAGAGGAAGGGCUCUAAUAUGUGCGCAGUCAAAUGCGGCAGUUGAUGAACUUGUGUCAAGACUCAGUAAAGGAUUGUAUGAUACUGAAGGAAAGCUGUAUAGACCUUAUAUAGUGAGGGUUGGUAAUGCAAAGACAGUUCAUCCUAAUUCAAUCCCUUUCUUUAUUGACACACUUGUUGAACAAAGGUUGUCAGACGAGUUGAAGAUUAAUGAUGAAUCCAAAAUUUCAUCCGAUGGCGAAUCCUCCGGUUCACUUAGGGCUAGGUUGGAGAAGGUUGUAGACAGAAUUAGAUAUUAUGAGUCACGGCGAAAACUAGUGGAGGGUGAUAAGACAGAAACUGGAUCUUCUGUGCCCGAUGAAGAUGAGAUGGAUGAAGUUUCUGAUGAAGCAAUUGGUGCAAAGCUCAAUAUUUUAUAUACACAGAAAAGGGCAGUUUCUUCAGAACUUGCCACUGCUCAUGCACGUGAAAAGAAAAUAGCUGAUGAAAACAAGUCUCUUAAGCACAAGGUAAGGAAGUCAAUUCUCGGAGAAGCAGAGAUUGUUGUGACAACGCUCAGUGGGUGUGGAGGUGAUAUUUACGGAGUUUGCUCGGAAACUGCUUCAGCUAAGAAAUACGGGAAUUUCUCUGAGCAAGCUUUGUUUGAUGUUGUUGUUAUCGAUGAAGCUGCGCAGGCUCUUGAGCCUGCAACUUUGAUUCCACUUCAGCUACUCAAGUCGAAAGGAACUAAGUGCAUAAUGGUUGGUGAUCCGAAGCAGCUACCUGCUACCGUGAUGUCUGGAUUGGCUAGCAAGUUUCUCUAUGAGUGCAGCAUGUUUGAACGCCUACAAAGAGCUGGUUAUCCAGUUAUUAUGCUCACUAAACAGUACCGAAUGCAUCCUGACAUUAGCAGAUUCCCGUCGUUGCAUUUCUAUGAAAACAAACUGCUGGAUGGUGCUCAGAAGGCUGAGAAAUCAGCUCCUUUCCAUGAUCACAGUUGUCUUGGUCCAUACAUGUUCUUUGAUAUUGCCGAUGGUCGUGAGCGUGCUGGAACAAGUGCUGCUGCACAAUCACUCUCUAAUCAAUUUGAAGCUGAUGCAGCACUUGAAAUACUGUCAUUUUUAAAGAACAGAUAUCCAGCAGAUUUCUCCUGUAGAAAGAUAGGGAUCAUAACUCCGUACAGGAGUCAACUCUCCUUGCUGCGUUCAAGGUUCACUUCUUUUUUUGGGCCUGAGAUUGUUGCUGAGAUGGAAAUCAAUACUGUGGAUGGAUUUCAAGGUCGGGAAGUUGACAUCUUGGUGUUGUCAACUGUUAGAGCCUCCAACUCUUCAGGUGACAGGCAUCACACUGGUGAAGCACGUAGCAUUGGGUUUGUUGCAGAUGUUAGGCGUAUGAAUGUUGCGCUAACACGCGCCAGGUUUUCUCUAUGGAUAGUUGGUAAUGCAAGAACAUUGCAGACCAAUUCACACUGGGCUUCCUUAUUACAGAAUGCUAAAGAACGUAAUAUGCUCAUCUCAGUUCAGAAGCCCUAUAGUCUGAUCUUUCAAAAUGUUCAUGGUACUACCCAUAGUCACCUUAAGCAGCAGAAGGGAAAUGAAAAGGCUGAUAUGACAAACUCGCGGACAGUCGAUGCACAACUCCAUAAAGAACAUGUGAGACAUGCUGACAGUGCUACAGAAAAGAAAGGUAAAAGUUUACGUGAGGAUCAGGCAAAACAAGCAUCACACUGGGAUCAAAAGACUCGUAAAACUGAAGGCUCCACCUUGAGAAAAUUCAGUCAAGAAAAUGAAGCGACAACGCAGAAUGAUGAUAUGAGAGCUACCAAGGGCUCAUUGAAACAAGAUAUUGAUCAGGAUUCGGUGAUAAGAAAGCAAGGGGCAGAAAAGAAGUCUGUGCAGAAUGUAAAUCAGCUGGAGCUUGCUAAAAGGUUGGCAACAGGGGAUCCCCAUGAUGGCUCUCGUGUCCGAAGGCAAAGGGAAUUGAAUAGGCCUGUUAGCGAGAAUGCUGAUAUGGAAACUGAUAAGGCCUUAUUUAAGCAUGGUCCAUCUGAGAAUCCCAAGGUGAGAUUACAUAAUAACGACAAAAAGGCUGCCAGCCAAAACAAUGAUAUGGGAACCAUCAAGGGUUCGUCAAAACAUGAUUCUGUUGUAAAAUCAGUGGCCAAGCAGGAUGAUGGUUCUUCAUCAGCACAACACCGUGAAAUGCAGAAUUUGAUACAAAAGGCUAAAGGAGCAAGGAAGUUUUCUGAAACACCAAGGUUCAGUAAUUCAAACAAAGAGGGUUCCUUGCUUAAACAUGACGCAGUUUUGGAAUUAGCAAAUAGGAACAGUGGUAUUGGUCCACCAACAAUCCCUGAUAUGAAGAAAAAUAAGGUCAAGGGGGCAAGAAAGUUUACUGAACAACCAAGAUCUGGGAACUCGAAUCAGGUGGAUCCAUCAGUUUCAUCACAUUUUGAUGGAACAAGUAGCCAUAUACGGGACCUCACGACAAGCCAAGCUGCUAAGCAAACUGUAACUAGUCAAAAGGACCAAAUUGCAGCGAGAAAGCGUCAAAGGGAGGACGUUGAAUCUUUACUUUCCUCAGCUCUUAUAUCAUCAAAGAAGCCUAAGAAGAAACAAAAAUGA